GCCCCAGCUCAGAAAUGACUGGGAUGACUGAAAUUCCUUUUGUGUGAGCUCCCAUACCUGCAAAAUCGAAAUUGGGGUGGGUGGUGGGAAGCAGAAAUCUAUUGUGAAAUGUGGGAUGCAAAAACAAAAGAUUUCAAUGAACACUCAUUUAAAUAAAAAAUUGGAGUAACACCUUGCCUUUUUCACAGGUUGCUCGUGGGUGUACCUGGACCUUUUCUGAAGUGAGCAAGGACCUUUUCACUCUAGUCUGGAGAAAGAAGAUUCUACAAUUACCUGCCACUCAACACCUGCUGCUCCAGACAGCAGCAGCACUUGCUUGAGCACAACUUCCUGUGAGGAAGACCAGGACUCUCAACUGAACAGCCAACUGAUAAUGUUUCCUAGGCGCCCG
This 391-nucleotide long non-coding RNA is filed under the name Phascolarctos cinereus (koala). Its description in RNAcentral is "lncRNA (ENSPCIG00000037301.1)". Lineage: Eukaryota; Metazoa; Chordata; Mammalia; Diprotodontia; Phascolarctidae. The record is from RNAcentral.